UACGGAGGAUGCAAGCGUUAUCCGGAAUGAUUGGGCGUAAAGCGUCCGCAGGUGGCAAUGUAAGUCUGCUGUCAAAGCGUCUGGCUCAACCAGAUAAAGGCAGUGGAAACUACAUAGCUAGAGUAAGGUAGGGGUAGAGGGAAUUCCUGGUGUAGCGGUGAAAUGCGUAGAUAUUGGGAAGAACACCGGUGGCGAAGGCGCUCUACUGGGCCAUAACUGACACUGAUGGACGAAAGCUAGGGGAGCGAAAGGG
This 253-nucleotide ribosomal RNA is filed under the name uncultured bacterium. RNAcentral's name for it is "partial 16S ribosomal RNA". It matches the Rfam family "Bacterial small subunit ribosomal RNA", at positions 524 to 776 of the family's 1533-position model. The record is from RNAcentral.